UUGUGGUUCAACUUUACGUUGAUUAAAAUGGGAACAAGGUGUAAAUCCUUGACUGUCCCGCAGCUGUAAGCUGCCCUUAUACAGGAACAAGCACCAUAGUCACUGAGAUUUUCGGGAAGACGCUUGUAUCCAGGCAGCAAGUCAGAAGACCUGCCAUGACG
RNAcentral lists this non-coding RNA (161 nucleotides) under uncultured Prevotella sp. The record is from RNAcentral. Lineage: Bacteria; Pseudomonadati; Bacteroidota; Bacteroidia; Bacteroidales; Prevotellaceae.